UUAGAUUCUUCGGAUGAAGAGGAUUGUGACUGAGCGGCGGACGGGUGAGUAACGCGUGGGUAACCUGCCUCAUACAGGGGGAUAACAGUUAGAAAUGACUGCUAAUACCGCAUAAGACCACAGCACCGCAUGGUGCAGGGGUAAAAACUCCGGUGGUAUGAGAUGGACCCGCGUCUGAUUAGCUAGUUGGUAAGGUAACGGCUUACCAAGGCGACGAUCAGUAGCCGACCUGAGAGGGUGACCGGCCACAUUGGGACUGAGACACGGCCCAAACUCCUACGGGAGGCAGCAGUGGGGAAUAUUGCACAAUGGGGGAAACCCUGAUGCAGCGACGCCGCGUGAGUGAAGAAGUAUUUCGGUAUGUAAAGCUCUAUCAGCAGGGAAGAAAAUGACGGUACCUGGCUAAGAAGCACCGGCUAAAUACGUGCCAGCAGCCGCGGUAAUACGUAUGGUGCAAGCGUUAUCCGGAUUUACUGGGUGUAAAGGGAGCGUAGACGGAUGGGCAAGUCUGAUGUGAAAACCCGGGGCUCAACCCCGGGACUGCAUUGGAAACUGUUCAUCUAGAGUGCUGGAGAGGUAAGUGGAAUUCCUAGUGUAGCGGUGAAAUGCGUAGAUAUUAGGAGGAACACCAGUGGCGAAGGCGGCUUACUGGACAGUA
RNAcentral lists this ribosomal RNA (658 nucleotides) under uncultured Lachnospiraceae bacterium. RNAcentral's name for it is "bacterial SSU rRNA". It matches the Rfam family "Bacterial small subunit ribosomal RNA", at positions 67 to 738 of the family's 1533-position model. Lineage: Bacteria; Bacillati; Bacillota; Clostridia; Lachnospirales; Lachnospiraceae. The record is from RNAcentral.